AGAGCACUUAAGGGAGGAGGCGUUGACCUGGGUUUUCAACAAUGAAUGGAGUGUUUGACUGCAUCGAGGCCUAUGCCCCCGGCUUCAAGAGAUCUGUGCUGGGCAGAGAUAUCCUCACCCCACAGGACCUAGAGAGGAUCUUCGGGCUUCCUGGAGGGAACAUAUUUCAUGGUGCCAUGUCCCUGGACCAGCUCUACUUUGCCCGACCAGUGCCCCAACACUCUGACUACAGAUGCCCCGUGCAAGGCCUAUACCUCUGUGGGAGUGGGGCCCAUCCUGGAGGAGGCGUCAUGGGAGCGGCUGGACGGAAUGCAGCCCACAUAGUCUUUAGGGACCUCAAGAACAUGUGAUGCUGGACCAGCUCUGAGCCCAAGGAGAAAAGUUUUCCCUGCACUUUGAGCCGCCUAGCAGGCCAUCUUCCCAUGAUGCCCUGCUUCCCAUGAUGCCACUGGAGACAACUGCACUAGCAAGGCGCCACUGUUUCUUAAUCAAGGACUCAGUUACAUUUAACACAAUCUCACCCGUGCCCUUGGAUUAGCUGGUUUUGUCUG
Molecule: long non-coding RNA, 551 nt
Filed under: Rattus norvegicus (Norway rat)
Lineage: Eukaryota; Metazoa; Chordata; Mammalia; Rodentia; Muridae
Description: long non-coding RNA NONRATT003787
Source: RNAcentral